RNAcentral lists this ribosomal RNA (517 nucleotides) under Knufia sp. 21HO25-F5. RNAcentral describes it as "SSU rRNA". It matches the Rfam family "Eukaryotic small subunit ribosomal RNA", at positions 56 to 579 of the family's 1831-position model. The record is from RNAcentral. Lineage: Eukaryota; Fungi; Ascomycota; Eurotiomycetes; Chaetothyriales; Trichomeriaceae.
UGUCUAAGUAUAAGCAAUCAUACUGUGAAACUGCGAAUGGCUCAUUAAAUCAGUUAUCGUUUAUUUGAUAGUACCUUUACCUGGAUAACCGUGGUAAUUCUAGAGCUAAUACAUGCUAAAAAUCCCGACUUCGGAAGGGAUGUAUUUAUUAGAUAAAAAACCAAUGCCCUUCGGGGCUCCUUGGUGAUUCAUAAUAACUUAACGAAUCGCAUGGCCUUGCGCCGGCGAUGGUUCAUUCAAAUUUCUGCCCUAUCAACUUUCGAUGGUAGGAUAGUGGCCUACCAUGGUCUCAACGGGUAACGGGGAAUUAGGGUUCUAUUCCGGAGAGGGAGCCUGAGAAACGGCUACCACAUCCAAGGAAGGCAGCAGGCGCGCAAAUUACCCAAUCCCAAUUCGGGGAGGUAGUGACAAUAAAUACUGAUACAGGGCUCUUUUGGGUCUUGUAAUUGGAAUGAGUACAAUCUAAAUCCCUUAACGAGGAACAAUUGGAGGGCAAGUCUGGUGCCAGCAGCCGCGG